AUAAUAUGGCUGGACCCAGUAAAAAGUGGAAGUUUUCUGAUUUGCAAGAGUAGCCAUUCCCUUCACUUUUGAAAAAUUUCUAGACAUAAUCAGGUUUCCCACGGGCACUUUUCUACCUGGCGUUGCUUCAUUUUCAAUUUGAUGUUCCAUGAGUAUUUGUUUGUCCCUUGUUUUUUCUGUUGUCUUCAGAAGUUUGUUUCUUGUCCCACUGGAAGUUGAUUGAUUAUAGUACAUACACAUGCUCAUGCUUGUGUUUAUUAUGUUCAUGAUCCCACAAUCUGCUACGGUUGCCAGGUUCUUUAAUGGGUUUCUUUGUUGAACAUUUUCUCAACCCAUUUCUUGUAGCAAAUCA
Molecule: unclassified non-coding RNA, 352 nt
Filed under: Hevea brasiliensis (rubber tree)
Lineage: Eukaryota; Viridiplantae; Streptophyta; Magnoliopsida; Malpighiales; Euphorbiaceae
Source: RNAcentral